This 253-nucleotide ribosomal RNA is filed under the name uncultured bacterium. RNAcentral's name for it is "partial 16S ribosomal RNA". It matches the Rfam family "Bacterial small subunit ribosomal RNA", at positions 524 to 776 of the family's 1533-position model. The record is from RNAcentral.
UACGUAGGGUGCAAGCGUUGUCCGGAAUUAUUGGGCGUAAAGAGCUCGUAGGCGGUUCGUCGCGUCGGCUGUGAAAUCCCGAGGCUCAACCUCGGGUCUGCAGUCGAUACGGGCGGACUCGAGUUCGGCAGGGGAGACUGGAAUUCCUGGUGUAGCGGUGAAAUGCGCAGAUAUCAGGAGGAACACCGGUGGCGAAGGCGGGUCUCUGGGCCGAUACUGACGCUGAGGAGCGAAAGCGUGGGGAGCGAACAGG